AGGACGAACGCUGGCGGCGUGCUUAACACAUGCAAGUCGAGCGGAAAGGCCCUUCGGGGUACUCGAGCGGCGAACGGGUGAGUAACACGUGAGCAACCUGCCCUUAGCUUCGGGAUAGCUCCGGGAAACCGGAAUUAAUACCGGAUAUGACUAUGGCCGACAUCAGCCAUGGUGGAAAGUUUUUCGGCUAGGGAUGGACUCGCGGCCUAUCAGCUAGUUGGUGAGGUAACGGCUCACCAAGGCGACGACGGGUAGCCGGCCUGAGAGGGCGACCGGCCACACUGGGACUGAGACACGGCCCAGACUCCUACGGGAGGCAGCAGUGGGGAAUAUUGCGCAAUGGGCGAAAGCCUGACGCAGCGACGCCGCGUGGGGAUGAAUGCCUUCGGGUUGUAACCCCUUUCAGCAGGGACGAAGCGAAGUGACGGUACCUGCAGAAGAAGCGCCGGCUAACUACGCGCCAGCAGCCGC
Molecule: ribosomal RNA, 471 nt
Filed under: uncultured bacterium
Lineage: Bacteria
Description: SSU rRNA
Rfam family: Bacterial small subunit ribosomal RNA
Source: RNAcentral